This 454-nucleotide ribosomal RNA is filed under the name uncultured bacterium. Its description in RNAcentral is "partial 16S ribosomal RNA". It matches the Rfam family "Bacterial small subunit ribosomal RNA", at positions 28 to 507 of the family's 1533-position model. The record is from RNAcentral.
GAUGAACGCUGACAGAAUGCUUAACACAUGCAAGUCAACUUGAACUUCGGUUUGGGUGGCGGACGGGUGAGUAACGCGUAAAGAACUUGCCUCACAGUUAGGGACAACAUUUGGAAACGAAUGCUAAUACCUGAUAUUAUGAUUUUAGGGCAUCCUAGAAUUAUGAAAGCUAUAUGCGCUGUGAGAGAGCUUUGCGUCCCAUUAGCUAGUUGGAGAGGUAACGGCUCACCAAGGCGAUGAUGGGUAGCCGGCCUGAGAGGGUGAACGGCCACAAGGGGACUGGGACACGGCCCUUACUCCUACGGGAGGCAGCAGUGGGGAAUAUUGGACAAUGGACCAAGAGUCUGAUCGAGAAAUUCUGUGUGCACGAUGAAGUUUUUCGGAAUGUAAAGUGCUUUCAGUUGGGAAGAAAAAAAUGACGGUACCAACAGAAGAAGUGACGGCUAAAUACGUG